This 916-nucleotide ribosomal RNA is filed under the name Escherichia coli. RNAcentral describes it as "partial 23S ribosomal RNA". It matches the Rfam family "Bacterial large subunit ribosomal RNA", at positions 2033 to 2925 of the family's 2925-position model. Lineage: Bacteria; Pseudomonadati; Pseudomonadota; Gammaproteobacteria; Enterobacterales; Enterobacteriaceae. The record is from RNAcentral.
UCAGUGAAAUUGAACUCGCUGUGAAGAUGCAGUGUACCCGCGGCAAGACGGAAAGACCCCGUGAACCUUUACUAUAGCUUGACACUGAACAUUGAGCCUUGAUGUGUAGGAUAGGUGGGAGGCUUUGAAGUGUGGACGCCAGUCUGCAUGGAGCCGACCUUGAAAUACCACCCUUUAAUGUUUGAUGUUCUAACGUUGACCCGUAAUCCGGGUUGCGGACAGUGUCUGGUGGGUAGUUUGACUGGGGCGGUCUCCUCCUAAAGAGUAACGGAGGAGCACGAAGGUUGGCUAAUCCUGGUCGGACAUCAGGAGGUUAGUGCAAUGGCAUAAGCCAGCUUGACUGCGAGCGUGACGGCGCGAGCAGGUGCGAAAGCAGGUCAUAGUGAUCCGGUGGUUCUGAAUGGAAGGGCCAUCGCUCAACGGAUAAAAGGUACUCCGGGGAUAACAGGCUGAUACCGCCCAAGAGUUCAUAUCGACGGCGGUGUUUGGCACCUCGAUGUCGGCUCAUCACAUCCUGGGGCUGAAGUAGGUCCCAAGGGUAUGGCUGUUCGCCAUUUAAAGUGGUACGCGAGCUGGGUUUAGAACGUCGUGAGACAGUUCGGUCCCUAUCUGCCGUGGGCGCUGGAGAACUGAGGGGGGCUGCUCCUAGUACGAGAGGACCGGAGUGGACGCAUCACUGGUGUUCGGGUUGUCAUGCCAAUGGCACUGCCCGGUAGCUAAAUGCGGAAGAGAUAAGUGCUGAAAGCAUCUAAGCACGAAACUUGCCCCGAGAUGAGUUCUCCCUGACUCCUUGAGAGUCCUGAAGGAACGUUGAAGACGACGACGUUGAUAGGCCGGGUGUGUAAGCGCAGCGAUGCGUUGAGCUAACCGGUACUAAUGAACCGUGAGGCUUAACCUUACAACGCCGAAGGUGUUU